UACAUUUCGUACAUUCAGUUAUUUGUUUGUUAUCCUUAUAAAGUAAUAUACAGUCAUUUUUAUAUACAUGUAUAGGAAUAUAGCCAAGUCUCAUUUUUCGCAUGUAUAUUUUUACUUCAGAAUAUGAUUUUGAAAGUCGCCCUCCAUCGAAAAAAAUUGCUUUAAUCAAUGCUAAAAUUUAAUCAAAUGACUUCUAACUCCAUCGGUUCAUAAUUUUAAUAUGAAGUAAUUUUAUCAAAAACUCUAACUUGAAAAAUUUUAUACAAUUUGGAUAGAGUGGCUCUUGUGCAUCCCUCACAAGCUUUGCAAACUGUUCAAAAGUCCUUUCUAUCUCAAGCCGGAUAUUAUGUUCAUGAUCAGAAUUGCUUUCAGAUGUAGUAGCACUCAUGCAUACAUUUGAACAAGCACCUUGAUGUAAGUCAUCUAAUAAUUUUCUAUACCAUUAUGUUUGACAGAUCCAGUAGCAUCACUAUCAUCUUCAGUAUCAUCUUCGUCAUGCACCACUUCAUUCAGAUCAACCUCUCCAUGCCAUAUCCUACAAGUAUACUUCUUAUCCAUACCAUAUUAUAGCAGAUGCUCCUCAACAAAUGUUAUAUGACAAUAUACUAUAUUGAUAUAUCUCUUACAUGGAUACUUUAUCUGACUAGCACUGUCAGUCAUAUACCGUGCAAACUCAAUAAAAUCUCGAACUCCUUUUCGAUAUUCAGAUAAAAAAAUAUCUCUAGGAUUCAUCCAAUUUUUAUUGAUAUCCAUCUAACAACAAACACA
RNAcentral lists this long non-coding RNA (768 nucleotides) under Elaeis guineensis (African oil palm). RNAcentral describes it as "long non-coding RNA (EGUI_LNC081241)". The record is from RNAcentral. Lineage: Eukaryota; Viridiplantae; Streptophyta; Magnoliopsida; Arecales; Arecaceae.